RNAcentral lists this ribosomal RNA (537 nucleotides) under Triticum aestivum (bread wheat). Its description in RNAcentral is "partial small subunit ribosomal RNA". Lineage: Eukaryota; Viridiplantae; Streptophyta; Magnoliopsida; Poales; Poaceae. The record is from RNAcentral.
AUGGCCAUGCCGAUGCCGCCACCGCCGCCCGCAGGCAUGCCUCCGAUGGGGCCGAUGGGUCCGAUGGGGCCGAUGGGGCCGAUGGGACCGAUGGGUCCGCCGCCGGCAGCCGACAUGGCUGGGAUGGGGACGAUGCCAGUGAUGCACGCGGCCUUCUUCUGGGGGCACCGAGCGCAGGUACUCUUCCGCGACUGGCCCGGAGACCGUGCCGGCGCAGGUAUGUACGUCCUCUGCCUCUUCAUCGUCCUCACGCUCGCCGCGCUCGUGGAGGCCCUCUCCGCGGCGUCGAGGGGGGUCUCCAGCCGCCGGCCGGCCGUGGUGCUGGCGCUCACGGGGCUCCACGCGGUGAAGAUGGCGCUGGCCUACCUGGUGAUGCUGGCUGUCAUGUCGUUCAACGUCGGCGUCCUCCUCGCUGCCGUCGCCGGACACGCGAUCGGGUUCCUCCUCGCGCGGAGCGCCGUGUUCCGCCAAGCGACUCCGGGUGACGCGCCACAGAACGGUGCUCUCGUUCCCUCGGAGGCUGAGCCCAAACCUUAA